AAUGGUUGAAGCAUCUCCAA
Molecule: small nuclear RNA, 20 nt
Filed under: Arabidopsis thaliana (thale cress)
Lineage: Eukaryota; Viridiplantae; Streptophyta; Magnoliopsida; Brassicales; Brassicaceae
Description: snRNA_06495
Source: RNAcentral